RNAcentral lists this unclassified non-coding RNA (199 nucleotides) under uncultured Tomentella. RNAcentral's name for it is "sequence contains ITS1". The record is from RNAcentral. Lineage: Eukaryota; Fungi; Basidiomycota; Agaricomycetes; Thelephorales; Thelephoraceae.
CCGAAUUGUCGGCACGAGUUGUUGCUGGUCCUCAGAUGGGGGCAUGUGCACGCUCUGUCUACACAUCCACUCACACCUGUGCACCCUCUGUAGUUCUGUGGCCUGGGCGACUCUGUCCCCUUGCUGUGGUUCUAUGUCUUUACACACACACUGUAAUAAAGUCUUAUGGAAUGCAUGUCGCGUUUAACGCAAUACAAUA